Molecule: ribosomal RNA, 207 nt
Filed under: uncultured bacterium
Lineage: Bacteria
Description: partial 16S ribosomal RNA
Rfam family: Bacterial small subunit ribosomal RNA
Source: RNAcentral
CUCGUAGGCUGCCAACUAAGUCAUACGUGAAAUCCCUCAGCUUAACUGGGGAACUGCGUGUGAUACUGGAUGGCUUGGAUUUGGGAGAGGGAUGCGGAAUUCCAGGUGUAGCGGUGAAAUGCGUAGAUAUCUGGAGGAACACCGGUGGCGAAGGCGGCAUCCUGGACCAAUAUUGACGCUGAGGAGCGAAAGCCAGGGGAGCAAACG